GAUGAACGCUGGCGGCGUGCCUAAUACAUGCAAGUCGAGCGAACAGAUGAGGAGCUUGCUCCUCUGACGUUAGCGGCGGAUGGGUGAGUAACACGUGGAUAACCUACCUAUAAGACUGGGAUAACUUCGGGAAACCGGAGCUAAUACCGGAUAAUAUAUUGAACCGCAUGGUUCAAUAGUGAAAGACGGUUUUGCUGUCACUUAUAGAUGGAUCCGCGCCGCAUUAGCUAGUUGGUAAGGUAACGGCUUACCAAGGCAACGAUGCGUAGCCGACCUGAGAGGGUGAUCGGCCACACUGGAACUGAGACACGGUCCAGACUCCUACGGGAGGCAGCAGUAGGGAAUCUUCCGCAAUGGGCGAAAGCCUGACGGAGCAACGCCGCGUGAGUGAUGAAGGUCUUCGGAUCGUAAAACUCUGUUAUUAGGGAAGAACAAAUGUGUAAGUAACUAUGCACGUCUUGACGGUACCUAAUCAGAAAGCCACGGCUAACUACGUG
This 497-nucleotide ribosomal RNA is filed under the name uncultured bacterium. Its description in RNAcentral is "partial 16S ribosomal RNA". It matches the Rfam family "Bacterial small subunit ribosomal RNA", at positions 28 to 507 of the family's 1533-position model. The record is from RNAcentral.